Molecule: transfer RNA, 74 nt
Filed under: Perkinsus olseni
Lineage: Eukaryota; Perkinsozoa; Perkinsida; Perkinsidae
Description: tRNA-Ala
Rfam family: tRNA
About the family: Transfer RNA (tRNA) molecules are approximately 80 nucleotides in length.
Source: RNAcentral
GGGGGACUAGCUCAAAUGGUAGAGCGCUCGCGUAGCAAGCGAGAGAGCACCGGGAUCGAUGCCCGGGUUCUCCA